RNAcentral lists this ribosomal RNA (449 nucleotides) under uncultured bacterium. RNAcentral describes it as "bacterial SSU rRNA". It matches the Rfam family "Bacterial small subunit ribosomal RNA", at positions 354 to 796 of the family's 1533-position model. The record is from RNAcentral.
GUGGGGAAUUGUUCACAAUGGGCGCAAGCCUGAUGACGCAACGCCGCGUGGAGGAUGAAGGUCUUCGGAUCGUAAACUCCUGUUGCCCGGGACGAAAAGCUCCGACCUAAUACGUCGGAGUCUGACGGUACCGGGUGAGGAAGCCCCGGCUAACUCUGUGCCAGCAGCCGCGGUAAUACAGAGGGGGCAAGCGUUGUUCGGAAUUACUGGGCGUAAAGGGCGCGUAGGCGGCCCUCUAAGUCAGACGUGAAAUCCCCGGGCUCAACCCGGGAACUGCGUCUGAUACUGGAGGGCUUGAAUCCGGGAGAGGGAUGCGGAAUUCCAGGUGUAGCGGUGAAAUGCGUAGAUAUCUGGAGGAACACCGGUGGCGAAGGCGGCAUCCUGGACCGGUAUUGACGCUGAGGCGCGAAAGCCAGGGGAGCAAACGGGAUUAGAAACCCUGGUAGUCC